AGCCUUCUGUAUCCGUGUCGAAAUUUCAUCAGACACCAGACUGUCAGGACUGAUGGGACUUUCAAGAUAAGUGAAGCG
Molecule: microRNA precursor, 78 nt
Filed under: Schistosoma mansoni
Lineage: Eukaryota; Metazoa; Platyhelminthes; Trematoda; Strigeidida; Schistosomatidae
Description: mir-3492 microRNA precursor family
Rfam family: mir-3492 microRNA precursor family
Source: Rfam by way of RNAcentral